UCUACGGGUGGCAGCAGUGGGGAAUAUUGGGCAAUGGGCGCAAGCCUGACCCAGCAACGCCGCGUGAAGGAAGAAGGCUUUCGGGUUGUAAACUUCUUUUAAGUGGGAAGAGGAGCAGACGGUACCCCUUGCAUAAGCCACGGCUCACUACGUGCCAGCAGCCGCGGUAAUACGUAGGUGGCAAGCGUUGUCCGGCUGUACUGGGUGUAAAGGGCGUGCAGCCGGGAGGACAAGGCAGAUGUGAAAUCCCGCGGCUCAACCGGGGAACUGCAUUUGAAACUGUUUUUCUUGAGUGCCGGAGAGGUCAUCGGAAUUCCUUGUGUAGCGGUGAAAUGCGUAGAUAUAAGGAAGAACACCAGUGGCGAAGGCGGAUGACUGGGCGGCAACUGACGGUGAGGCGCGAAAGCGUGGGGAGCAAACAGGAUUAGAUACCCGGGUAGUC
RNAcentral lists this ribosomal RNA (442 nucleotides) under uncultured bacterium. RNAcentral's name for it is "partial 16S ribosomal RNA". It matches the Rfam family "Bacterial small subunit ribosomal RNA", at positions 338 to 795 of the family's 1533-position model. The record is from RNAcentral.